RNAcentral lists this ribosomal RNA (2880 nucleotides) under Stenotrophomonas sp. SBJS02. RNAcentral's name for it is "23S ribosomal RNA". It matches the Rfam family "Bacterial large subunit ribosomal RNA". Lineage: Bacteria; Pseudomonadati; Pseudomonadota; Gammaproteobacteria; Lysobacterales; Lysobacteraceae. The record is from RNAcentral.
GGUCAAGCGAAUAAGCGCACACGGUGGAUGCCUUGGCGGUCAGAGGCGAUGAAGGACGUGGCAGCCUGCGAAAAGUAUCGGGGAGCUGGCAACAAGCUUUGAUCCGGUAAUGUCCGAAUGGGGAAACCCACCCGCUUGCGGGUAUCCUGCAGUGAAUACAUAGCUGCUGGAAGCGAACCUGGUGAACUGAAAUAUCUAAGUAACCAGAGGAAAAGAAAUCAACCGAGAUUCCGUAAGUAGCGACGAGCGAACGCGGACUAGCCCUUAAGCUGAUUUGGUUCUAGGAAAACGCUCUGGAAAGAGCGGCCAUAGAAGGUGAUAGCCCUGUAUCUGAAAGGGCCAUUUCAGUGAAGACGAGUAGGGCGGGGCACGUGAAACCCUGUCUGAACAUGGGGGGACCAUCCUCCAAGGCUAAAUACUACUGACCGACCGAUAGUGAACCAGUACCGUGAGGGAAAGGCGAAAAGAACCCCGGAGAGGGGAGUGAAAUAGAACCUGAAACCGUGUGCGUACAAGCAGUAGGAGCUCCGCAAGGAGUGACUGCGUACCUUUUGUAUAAUGGGUCAGCGACUUACUGUUCGUGGCAAGCUUAACCGUAUAGGGGAGGCGAAGGGAAACCGAGUCUGAUAAGGGCGCAUAGUCGCGGGCAGUAGACCCGAAACCGGGUGAUCUAGUCAUGCCCAGGGUGAAGGUGCGGUAACACGCACUGGAGGCCCGAACCCACUCCCGUUGCAAAGGUAGGGGAUGAGGUGUGAUUAGGAGUGAAAAGCUAAUCGAACCCGGAGAUAGCUGGUUCUCCUCGAAAGCUAUUUAGGUAGCGCCUCAUAUGUAUCCUCUCGGGGGUAGAGCACUGUUAUGGCUAGGGGGUCAUCGCGACUUACCAAACCAUUGCAAACUCCGAAUACCGAGACGGACUGUAUGGGAGACACACGGCGGGUGCUAACGUCCGUCGUGAAAAGGGAAACAACCCAGACCCACAGCUAAGGUCCCAAAUUCACUGCUAAGUGGAAAACCAUGUGGAAAGGCACAGACAGCCAGGAGGUUGGCUUAGAAGCAGCCACCCUUUAAAGAAAGCGUAAUAGCUCACUGGUCGAGUCGGUCUGCGGGGAAGAUUUAACGGGGCUAAGCAGUGAACCGAAGCUUGGGGUGCAUAACUUUGUUAUGCGCGGUAGAGGAGCGUUCCGUAAGCCGUUGAAGGUGGAUUGAGAAGUCUGCUGGAGGUAUCGGAAGUGCGAAUGCUGACAUGAGUAACGAUAAUGCGGGUGAAAAACCCGCACGCCGAAAGCCCAAGGUUUCCUUGCGCAACGUUAAUCGGCGCAGGGUGAGUCGGCCCCUAAGGCGAGGACGAAAGUCGUAGUCGAUGGGAAGCAGGUUAAUAUUCCUGCACCUCGCGUAAGUGCGAUGGAGGGACGGAGAAGGUUAGGUGUACCAGGCGUUGGUUGUCCUGGGGAAAGGCGGUAGGUUUGGAUCUUUGGCAAAUCCGGGAUCCUUCAAGACCGAGCACCGAGACGAGCCUUUAUGGCAAAGUCACUGAUACCACGCUUCCAGGAAAAGCUCCUAAGCUUCAGCUUACGCAGACCGUACCGUAAACCGACACAGGUGGGUAGGAUGAGAAUUCUCAGGCGCUUGAGAGAACUCGGGUGAAGGAACUAGGCAACAUGGCACCGUAACUUCGGGAGAAGGUGCACCCUUUUUGGUGGCUCAUGCGAGCUAUAGCUGAAGAGGGUCGCAGUAACCAGGCCGCUGCGACUGUUUAUCAAAAACACAGCACUCUGCAAACACGAAAGUGGACGUAUAGGGUGUGACGCCUGCCCGGUGCUGGAAGGUUAAUUGAUGGGGUCAGCCGCAAGGCGAAGCUCUUGAUCGAAGCCCCAGUAAACGGCGGCCGUAACUAUAACGGUCCUAAGGUAGCGAAAUUCCUUGUCGGGUAAGUUCCGACCUGCACGAAUGGCGUAACGACAGCGGCGCUGUCUCCACCCGAGACUCAGUGAAAUUGAAAUCGCUGUGAAGAUGCAGCGUUCCCGUGGCAAGACGGAAAGACCCCGUGAACCUUUACUAUAGCUUUACACUGAACGUUGAGUUCGUCUGUGUAGGAUAGGUGGGAGGCUAUGAAACUGUGGCGCUAGCUGCAGUGGAGCCAUCCUUGAAAUACCACCCUGUCGUGCUUGACGUUCUAACCUGGGCCCAUUAUCUGGGUCGGGGACCGUGUAUGGUGGGUAGUUUGACUGGGGCGGUCUCCUCCUAAAGAGUAACGGAGGAGCUCGAAGGUACGCUCAGCGCGGUCGGACAUCGCGCACUGUGUGCAAAGGCAUAAGCGUGCUUGACUGCAAGAUCGACGGAUCAAGCAGGUAGGAAACUAGGACUUAGUGAUCCGGUGGUUCUGUAUGGAAGGGCCAUCGCUCAACGGAUAAAAGGUACUCCGGGGAUAACAGGCUGAUACCGCCCAAGAGUUCAUAUCGACGGCGGUGUUUGGCACCUCGAUGUCGGCUCAUCACAUCCUGGGGCUGUAGUCGGUCCCAAGGGUAUGGCUGUUCGCCAUUUAAAGUGGUACGCGAGCUGGGUUCAGAACGUCGUGAGACAGUUCGGUCCCUAUCUGCCAUGGGCGUUGGAGAUUUGAGAGGGGCUGCUCCUAGUACGAGAGGACCGGAGUGGACGAACCUCUGGUGUUCCGGUUGUCACGCCAGUGGCAUUGCCGGGUAGCUAUGUUCGGAAGCGAUAACCGCUGAAAGCAUCUAAGCGGGAAGCGCGCCUCAAGAUGAGAUCUCCCGGGGCACAAGCCCCCUGAAGGAACCAUGUAGACUACGUGGUUGAUAGGUCAGGUGUGUAAGUACAGCAAUGUAUUGAGCUAACUGAUACUAAUGAUCCGAGAGGCUUGACCAU